CGGAUUGUAGUCUGCAACUCGACUACAUGAAGCUGGAAUCGCUAGUAAUCGCAGAUCAGAAUGCUGCGGUGAAUACGUUCCCGGGUCUUGUACACACCGCCCGUCACACCAUGGGAGUCGGAAAUGCCCGAAGCCGGUGACCAAACCAAUAAGGAAGGAGCCGUCGAAGGCAGGUCUGAUAACUGGGGUGAAGUCGUAACAAGGUACC
This 208-nucleotide ribosomal RNA is filed under the name uncultured bacterium. RNAcentral's name for it is "partial 16S ribosomal RNA". It matches the Rfam family "Bacterial small subunit ribosomal RNA", at positions 1294 to 1500 of the family's 1533-position model. The record is from RNAcentral.